This 407-nucleotide ribosomal RNA is filed under the name uncultured microorganism. RNAcentral describes it as "bacterial SSU rRNA". It matches the Rfam family "Bacterial small subunit ribosomal RNA", at positions 509 to 917 of the family's 1533-position model. The record is from RNAcentral.
CAGCCGCCGCGGUAAUACGGAGGGCGCGAGCGUUGUCCGGAUUCACUGGGCGUAAAGCGGGUGUAGGCGGUCGGGUAAGUCGGACGUGAAAGCCCGGGGCUCAACCCCGGAAGGGCGUCCGAAACUGCUCGACUUGAGGGCGGGAGAGGGAGGUGGAAUUCCCGGUGUAGCGGUGAAAUGCGUAGAUACCGGGAGGAACACCAGUGGCGAAGGCGGCCUCCUGGCCCGCUCCUGACGCUGAGACCCGAAAGCGUGGGGAGAAAACCGGAUUAGAUCCCCGGGUAGUCCACGCCGUAAACGGUGGGCACUAGGUGUGGGGGGUUAAUCCCUCCGUGCCGAAGCUAACGCAUUAAGUGCCCCGCCUGGGGAGUACGGCCGCAAGGUUGAAACUUAAAGGAAUUGGCGGG